CUUUGUGUAUUAGCUUCAGGGAAGAAAGCUUUCCUCAGUGUCUUGGUUAAUCUUCAUUAUAUCAGUUUGAUUCAAAGUAUGGUCACCUAGAAAGAGGAAAUCUCAACCUGAAUAAUUACUUAGAUCAGAUUCAUCUAUGUGGCAUUUGUCUGAAGGCCAUUGUCUUGACUGCUAAUUGAUGCAGGAGGACCCAGCCCAGGGUGGGUGGUACCAUCCCUAGAAAGGUAGUCCUGAACUGUAUAAAUAAGCUAGCAAAGCAAGCCAGAGAGUCAUCUAGCGAACAAUAUUCCUUUUUGACUUCUGUUUCAAGUUUCCUGUGUUGAGUUCCUGCCCUGAGUUUCCUCAGUAAUGGAGUGUGGCCUGGCAGUGUCAAAUGAAGUCAGCACUUUCCAAGUUGCCUUUGGUUAGAGUGUUUGUCAUAGCAACAGAUGAAAACAGAAUUCAGUAAAAUAGAACAGUUGACCAAAUCUGUGUAAGGGGAUCAGUUCCGUCAUGUGAGGAAUACUGUCUUUCCACUUCCUUUCUAUCCACCUCAUCUACUGUAAGAAACAAUUGGCUACUCUUAUGGCUAUUAACAAACCUGAUGGAUAAAAGUCCUUCUCUGCUUCCCUCUCCACCAGAAUGCUUACAUGGGUGGAAAAAGGUUCUGAGAAGUUUAGGCAAAUGAUGAAGAAACUAAGGAUCGUAGAUAUUAGAGGCUUUCCAAAGGUCAGCAUCACUAUCAAGAAUGGAUAUAACGGGACAGAACUCAGGCAUCAAUAUCCAAGUGAGGAAAUCAUUGAAAGUCUAGGGCUAUGGGAUGAGAGAAGGCCAUUGCAUUUUACAACAUACCAUCCAAUCCAAGUCUGCGACAUGUGGUUUUGA
Molecule: long non-coding RNA, 864 nt
Filed under: Rattus norvegicus (Norway rat)
Lineage: Eukaryota; Metazoa; Chordata; Mammalia; Rodentia; Muridae
Description: long non-coding RNA NONRATT033687
Source: RNAcentral